Molecule: ribosomal RNA, 440 nt
Filed under: uncultured bacterium
Lineage: Bacteria
Description: partial 16S ribosomal RNA
Rfam family: Bacterial small subunit ribosomal RNA
Source: RNAcentral
CCUACGGGUGGCAGCAGUGGGGGAUAUUGCACAAUGGGGGAAACCCUGAUGCAGCGACGCCGCGUGUGGGAAGACGGUCCUCUGGAUUGUAAACCACUGUCCCCAGGGACGAAAAUGACGGUACCUGGGGAGGAAGCUCCGGCUAACUACGUGCCAGCAGACGCGGUAAGACGUAGGGAGCGAGCGUUGUCCGGAAUUACUGGGUGUAAGGGGAGGGUAGGCGGGGAUGCAGGUUGGGUGGCAAAACUACCGGCUCAACUGGUUGUCGCACUCAAAACUGCAGCUCUUGAGUGAAGUAGGGGCAGGCGGAAGUCCUAGUGUAGCGGUGAAAUGCGUAGAUAUUAGGAGGAACACCAGUGGCGAAGGCGGCCUGCUGGGCUUUUACUGACGCUGAGGCUCGAAAGUGUGGGGAGCAAACAGGAUUAGAUACCCGAGUAGUC